This 484-nucleotide ribosomal RNA is filed under the name uncultured bacterium. RNAcentral's name for it is "partial 16S ribosomal RNA". It matches the Rfam family "Bacterial small subunit ribosomal RNA", at positions 30 to 507 of the family's 1533-position model. The record is from RNAcentral.
AUUGAACGCUGGCGGCAGGCCUAACACAUGCAAGUCGAGCGGAUGAAGGGAGCUUGCUCCUGGAUUCAGCGGCGGACGGGUGAGUAAUGCCUAGGAAUCUGCCUGGUAGUGGGGGAUAACGUCCGGAAACGGGCGCUAAUACCGCAUACGUCCUGAGGGAGAAAGUGGGGGAUCUUCGGACCUCGCGCUAUCAGAUGAGCCUAGGUCGGAUUAGCUAGUUGGUGGGGUAAAGGCCUACCAAGGCGACGAUCCGUAACUGGUCUGAGAGGAUGAUCAGUCACACUGGAACUGAGACACGGUCCAGACUCCUACGGGAGGCAGCAGUGGGGAAUAUUGGACAAUGGGCGAAAGCCUGAUCCAGCCAUGCCGCGUGUGUGAAGAAGGUCUUCGGAUUGUAAAGCACUUUAAGUUGGGAGGAAGGACAGUAAGUUAAUACCUUGCUGUUUUGACGUUACCAACAGAAUAAGCACCGGCUAACUUCGUG